GACGAACACGGUGAUGGAUCCCGCCGGAGCAUCUGCUCGAACCGCCACACGGCUGAUGGUUCCUACCCAUGU
RNAcentral lists this non-coding RNA (72 nucleotides) under Williamsia sp. Leaf354. RNAcentral describes it as "Fluoride riboswitch aptamer (crcB RNA motif)". It matches the Rfam family "Fluoride riboswitch aptamer (crcB RNA motif)". Lineage: Bacteria; Bacillati; Actinomycetota; Actinomycetes; Mycobacteriales; Nocardiaceae. The record is from Rfam by way of RNAcentral. RNAcentral also lists the same sequence under 1 other name.